GUCCCUGUAGCGCAAUGGAUAGCGCGUUAGAUUUCUAAUCCAAAGGACGUGAGUUUGAACUCCACCUGGGAUA
This is a non-coding RNA of Trichonephila inaurata madagascariensis, 73 nucleotides long. Lineage: Eukaryota; Metazoa; Arthropoda; Arachnida; Araneae; Nephilidae. The record is from the annotation of a GenBank genome assembly.